Molecule: ribosomal RNA, 467 nt
Filed under: uncultured bacterium
Lineage: Bacteria
Description: partial 16S ribosomal RNA
Rfam family: Bacterial small subunit ribosomal RNA
Source: RNAcentral
ACGAACGCUGGCGGCGUGCUUCACACAUGCAAGUCGAACGGAAAGGCCCUGCUUUUGUGGGGUGCUCGAGUGGCGAACGGGUGAGUAACACGUGAGUAACCUGCCCUUGACUUUGGGAUAACUUCAGGAAACUGGGGCUAAUACCGGAUAGGAGCUCCUGCUGCAUGGUGGGGGUUGGAAAGUUUCGGCGGUUGGGGAUGGACUCGCGGCUUAUCAGCUUGUUGGUGGGGUAGUGGCUUACCAAGGCUUUGACGGGUUGCCGGCCUGAGAGGGUGACCGGCCACAUUCGGACUGAGAUACGGCCCAGACUCCUACGGGAGGCAGCAGUGGGGAAUAUUGCACAAUGGGCGGAAGCCUGAUGCAGCAACGCCGCGUGCGGGAUGACGGCCUUCGGGUUGUAAACCGCUUUCGCCUGUGACGAAGCGUGAGUGACGGUAAUGGGUAAAGAAGCACCGGCUAACUACGUG